RNAcentral lists this transfer RNA (73 nucleotides) under Solirubrobacterales bacterium. RNAcentral describes it as "tRNA-Ala". It matches the Rfam family "tRNA". Rfam says of the family: Transfer RNA (tRNA) molecules are approximately 80 nucleotides in length. Their secondary structure includes four short double-helical elements and three loops (D, anti-codon, and T loops). Lineage: Bacteria; Bacillati; Actinomycetota; Thermoleophilia; Solirubrobacterales. The record is from RNAcentral.
GGGGCUAUAGCUCAGUUGGCAGAGCGCCUGGAUCGCACCCAGGAGGUCGGCGGUUCGAAUCCGCCUAGCUCCA